GGUUUUGAUUCUGCACCUCCGGAUGCUGCUGUUGCCGGAGGGCCGCUUGCGUCCGGAUCUCGUCCAGCAGGUCGCCGGCGUCGUAGGCGGCGUCCUUCAGUUUGCGCAUCCAGUCGCGCAGAGCGUGGUUCUCCUUCCCAGCGCUGGUUCGCUCCUCGGCGUCGAGAAGCACCGCUUGCAUCGCCGAGAAGUUGCUUCUGAGAUCGUCCGCGUCGUCCUUGAAGCUCCGCAGCAGCCCGAUUUCGUCCCAGAGAGCGGAGCCCAGCUUGCCGAGCACUCCUUUGACCAAAUCGAAUGCGAUCCCCUCCGCCAUCGCUAUUACGAAAGCAGCUAGCUAGCUAUGUGCUUCUUCUCCACACAAACGUCCUAUACUAGCAACUACAUUGGAGCAGAUAAUAAUAAUUAUAAGGGGAUGCUCCUCUACCUGCUCCAAUAUUAUUGUGCUACUAUGUCUCCAAUAAAUACGGUGGGGCCGCUGAUGGUUCCGGAGGAGCAGACGCGGAUGCUUUUUUUUUUUUCUUUUUUUGUUUUUUGGAGGUGACAUUUUGCCCCUCAAAGAUUAGAUACUUUUUUUAUGGGUCAACGGUCAAUCUUUAUCCAACUGUACAAAUUAUAGAAGUAUAUUAUUAUAAGUUUCAAAAUUUGCUCUUUGGAUCUUGUUGUUUCCGUGUCCAUUUCCAAACGAAGAGGCAGAAAAGCAUGAUCUUUUUCUCUCCAAAACAAGUAUUAAAGAGUGUCCAAAACAAGCUGCUAACUCUAAAACUACUCAGAUUAAAUCAAAGAUCCAUCCAAUGCUUAUAAUGUUAUAGAAAAAAAAACACCUAACUUGAACAAUUUAUUUGAAUUUUUUUGGAUAACACCUAGCUUGAACCAUUCAAUUAAUUUUUUGACCAAAGACCAAGCUUUUGAAGCAUACAUCCAACAACACAUUGAUUGCACUGCUUAAUGAAUCAAUCCAUUACAAACUAUAAAUAUCACUAAUGGAUCCAAGCAAUACAUAUAGGAAACUUAAAAACGUGACCAAGUUACCAUACAUAAAUGCACUUGUCCAUUUGUACAAAAACAGCUCUUGCUAAUUAAGGCUUUGUCUCCCUUUUUCUUAAAAAAAAAAAAAAAAUCCUUUGCUCCACAAUUAUAUGCAGUUAUAUUUCUUUCUAUCUAUUGAGAGCUCAAAUUUUCUUUCUCUUAAUCAACCAAAUUUGGAUCCAGAAGUGGGGUAUGUUCUGUUCUUCAUGACGAAGAAAGACCCCACUUUGCGGAGGUCAUGUUGUUGUUGUUGUUGUUGUUGUGUGUGUAUGUGUUUUAUUUUUGGGUAUAAAAAUGUAUUAAUUAAUCUGAACUUUGAUCAUUUAAAAUUAAUUACCUAAUAUUUUAAAACUUUAAAUUAAUUUUACUACCUAUUCUUUAGCGCUUUACAAUUUUGUUUUAUGAAAAAUCACUGCCUACACCUGGUGCAUCCAAACAGGUGUGCACCAGGGUUUUAUUCAUCCUUCAUAUUUUUCUAAUUUUAUUCCAGCCAUUUUAAUUUGUAAGUAUAAAAAAAUUACAACUGACUUUGUUUGGGCAUCCGGUGGUUAGAAACAAUAUUUCUAUAUUUUGAAUGGUCCAAAAGCUUUGCUUUAAAGCCACUUUUAAUCUAUCCUCCUCCGAAGAUAUAAAAUUAUGCUUAAUUAUUACUGAAGAACUAUGCGGUUAUAUUUAUGCGAUACCUUAGUAUUUCAUCCAUAAGUUUAAUUUUCAUAAAAUAUUUUUUCCGAUUGUUAAAUUGAAAAUAUAAUAUACACCAAGGAUCAAUUAUGGCAUACUGCAUUUUCUAAAGUAAAAAAAAAAAAAAGAAAAAAAAGGCAUAGUGCACAUGAACUGGCCAUAUAAUUGGCAAUAAUUUCAUGAAACUCAAAUCAGAAAGAAUGGACAAUAAAUCAAAAAAUUUAAAAAAUUUUACGGCUAUAUUUCCAAUAAAAUAAAAUUUAAGUUAAUUUCGUGCAAUUUUCCUUUUUGCACGGUUGAUCCCAAAUGUUAGGUUCUGGAAAUUGCUUUAUGGUAAAAAAAUAAUAAUAAUGAUAACUUAACAUAUUUUGAAGUAAAUACCUUUUUUAAUUUUCCGGAUUUCCUGAAUAAAAAAUUAAAAAUUUAUAUAACUUACUCCAACUGUCAGUUAUUUUAAUAUGAUUAUCUAAUCUUUAAAAAUUUUAAGUUUGCUACAUAAUCUUUUAAUUUAUUUGAUUUGAAUCAACUAAUGACUCUUUAGCUUUAAAAUUUUAAAUGUAUUUUUAAUUAAGCAGAUAUAAAUUUAUUAAAAUAAAUAAUUAUUCUAAAUUUUAUAUUGAAAAAGUAGAUCACUUAAAUCAAACAAAUUAAAUUGUGCAGCAACAUAAAUCUAUAUUUCCAUUUAAACCACAUGUUUCGUGAAAACCAAACUGGAAAAGCAACUCACUUCGGUUGAUUCAGUUUGAUUUUAGUAAUAAAUUGAUUUCGGAUUUGGAAAAUUAAAAACUAAAAAUCUUGCAAAAAGCAAAAUAAUAAAAUUUUUAGUACUUCAAAAUAUUUCGGCUUCGAAUCCAAUCAAAUAAAAGCAAUGAUAAAAUCCAUACUAUAAAAGCGUAUAGAAAUGACAGACAAAAUAAAAAAGGAAUAAAAGAAUAUUUUCUACGAACAAUUAUGAUCAAGUUGUUAAAAUAUAUUUCAAAUUGAACGAACGGUUAUGAUCAGUAUGUUAAAAAAUAAUUCAUAUCCAUCUAUAAACUUAAUUCUACGAACGAUUAUGAUCAAUUUAUUAAAAAUAUUUCAAAUAAAAAUGAAUGUUUAUGAUCAAUCUGUUAAAAAAAUAACAUUUCUAUCCAUCUAUUUUAUAUUAAAAUUUAAAAUUGAGUUUAAAUCGUGAAUUAAAUUUAAUUUUUAAUAUCAAAUUUGAAUUAACAAUUAAAUUUUUUUAAUUAUAUAAUGGAUCAAAAUUAAAUUUUAAAUUUUGAAAUAAAUAUAAAUUAAAUUUUGAUGGUUUUAGUUUAAAACACAUACUUCAAUUUUAGAUUCAUCAUAAAUAAAAAAAUAUAUAAAAAUAUUUAAUGUAUACAAAAAAAAUAACAUAGAAUAUUACAAAUAUUUUCUAAUAAAAUAUAACAAAUAAAUUUAUAAACUAUAAUUUUUAUUAUAAUUUUUUAAAUAAAUAUAAUAUACAAAUUAUAUUAAUUUAAAAUAAAUUAAAAUAAUUGUUACGUGCAUUUGUGGAUAGACUCAACUAGUUAAAAUAAAAAUGUAUGGAAACCCUCCCAACUACGGUACAUACAUACUAGGUCCAACUUGCAUGCAAAACAGAACCUCUGAUUUAAACAAGAGCAUAACAUACAUAAUAGUAAUAAACGCCGUACCCUCCAAUAUCUUUAUUAAAAGAGUAGCAACAUUUUGUUUAUUCUAAACCAAGCAAUCUUUUUAAACUCAUCACAUGUAUAGAGAACACCAUAAAAUUCCAAACAAUCAAACCAAAUUAUAAAUUAAAUAGUACAUUCAGAAACUUAAUUUAUAGUACGAAAACACAAAUAUAUAUCAACCAACAACAUCACACAAUAAUUUUUGUCCGGCAAGCUAAACAGCAUCAACCUGAAAAAAAAGAACACAAAUCCAUGAAUGAAAACUCUCACCAUUGCAUGUAGAUAUAUAAUUUUAUUUUUUUUUGCAAAAAAAAGAAAAAAAAAACUCUUCUCAAAGGGGAAUAGUGGUCACAAAUAAGCUAAAAGAGAAUAAUCGUUACGUGAGCAAUAAUACAUUUUGAGAUAAAUAUCUGAAUUUUAAAAAUUUUAGUUCUACUAUCCAACUUUCCACCAUAUUUAAGUACGUUUCUUAUGGAAUUCGAUAGUAUACUUAACUUUUCUGAUAGAACAUUUUAAAAUUUUGAUAAAAAAAUAUUUUUAUUUGAUGAUUGUGCACUUCGUUUAACGUAAAAGACUAAAUUCUAAAGGACUCCAACAAAUCUUUGUAAGAAAAUUUCUUAUAUCAAAAAGGAGUAUAUAUAUAGUUUACGUAUUAAAACCGAAAUUCGUAAAAUUCAGGCGCCCGCUCUCAAAGUGCAGUGUAGUUUAGUUAAUAUCUAAUAUGUUUUUACCUCAAAAUAAUAAGUACAUACACUCAGGUUCUGCUCCCCAGCCAAUUCGAUUUGCUCCAACAACUCGUCCAACUCUUCUUCUCCUCCUCCUUCGGUGAGCUCUCCUCCUCCUCUGGCGAGCUCUUCUCCUGUUGUGGCGAGCUGCUCGCUUGUUUCCGGUAUUCGUAUUCACUGCACCACAACAAUACCAAAUGGUAAACUUUUUAUCCGACGCUCGUGCAAUAUAUGCUGUACAUUUUGCUUAAACUUUCUAAUAACGCAUCAUAUAUAAGAUACAUGCUUUCAAUUUGUAAAGAAAAAUAUCCCAAGACUCGAAUAGUAUUUCAGCACUAUGACCGAAAAAAAUUACUCAGUAAAUACUAUAUAUCUUUCAAGUAGAAAUUUUUCGGCAUCCCAAAUCACUACAAAUUAAGAAAAGGUUAAAAUUUCAUUAAUCAGUCUAUAUACGUACGAGAGAUCACUUGUAAAUAUUUCGAGGCAACCAACUAUGUUUUCGAAUAUCUUAACUGUACUUUUACAUAAUUGGCAAUCAAAUGUGGUUUUUAAAUUGUGCAACAGCAAGCAGUCAUUGUUUCAAUUGUGCAAAGCAGAUGAUUGAUAAAGUUGCCUGCAAAAUUUGUGAAAAGAUUAUUGCCUCGUGUAAUCUAUGAACUACUUGUACAAGUAAAAUAUUUUGUUGAAUAGCAAUUUAGCAUAUCUAAACAGGAAGAAAUAAGAACAGAAUAAAACUUAUCUAAGAGCAGGAUAAAGCUAAUCUAAAAAUUUAUAAUCACUCAGAAUAUAAAUUAAAUAAAAUCUCACCGAUACAUAAGUUGGGGGACAGAAAUCAAAAUCAAUUGCUUGAGAAGAUGGGGAUUGGAGAUUGUGAAUAGCAAAUGAUUUGUAACUCAUGUUGCAGUAAGUAAUUAAGUAUGUGUAUAUAUAAGUAUGCUACCGGAGGUUUAUCCAAGAGGGAAAACUUCAAUUUGGACCCUAUGUAAUUUAAUGCAUUUUCACUUUAUUAUCCUGUGCUUUAAAUAGUUUUACUUUAAAAUCUUGUGGUUAUUUUUUGCUUUGUAUCAUAGUAAGAACUUGCUAUCAAGUGAACUACUAAAGUGCUAAAAUUUAUAAAAUAUACUAUUUUACUAUUCUAUAAUCCAUAAAUUUUAGCACUUCAAUAUUCUUUGGUAGUAGUUCAGCGAAAUAAAGACACAACAAUAAAAUAGCAAAGUGAAAUAUUUUGUAGCAAAUGAACCACGUGGGGCGGGGCUAAUGGAAGUUUUUCCAUCUGGAUUAAAAAAAAAAAGAAUGAAAAUAAAAAUUAAAGAAAGAGGUUUAUAUGCUAGCUACGAUAGAAUAUUAAAGGUGCUAGUCAGCUAAUUAAAUAGUAGUCAAGAGUUCCAAAUUAAUUACCUUUCAUUAACAGUGACAUAUUUGAUGUGAUCGACACUGGUGUCGACAAAUUGUCCAUCUGCAUCGAGCAACAGCGGGCAAUCCUUAAUCUCUAACUCCUCAAGUGCGGUCAUUUUGUGGUAACGGAGACUGCUGCACCCCCAGAUCUCCAAGAGGCGCAGGUCGGCGAGCUCCCCGAGCCAAUCUUCAAUUCUCUCAAGAUCUUCACAAUCCUUUAUUGUCAUAUACCGGAGGGAGGUGAGACUCCGCAAGCUCUCGGGCAAACAAGUUAGCUGCUGACAUUUUUCUAUUGUUAGAUCCCACAGCUCCUUAUUUGGUGGCGGUUGGAGUGAAUCAGCGGCAUCACCGCCGUCAUCAAGUGGCGUCGCACGUUCGAGAAUUAAUGAUAGGUUCCCGCUGCUUGUUCCGGAAAUGGUCAGAAAACCAACCGAUGCUGGGAGGCAAGGCUCCGGCCUCAAUUUAGGGCAUUCUUUAAGGUACAAAUGAGUGAGACACGGAAAAAUGGGAACUCGUUCUCGCCUGCCUUCUUCGUCAUCCACCGUCAACACAGUCACCCAUUCUCGCAGCACCGGCAUGCAGGACAAUUCAAGGCUCCUCAGGGCAGGGAACUUAUCUACGCCCAAAUUUGUUAUUGCGGGCAUAUUUCGUACAGUUAGUUCUUUAAGAAAAGGAAGUUGCCCCAGCGGCGGGAGUGAGCUGCAUCUGGGAAUAUUCGCAAGUUGGAUUUCAACGAGAUUAGGGAGGCACGAGCCAAUCCUAUUCAUCAUCCAGCUAGGAAACUUCCCUCUUGCAUAGCCUUCUAAUUUUAAAUUCUCUAGCUUUUGAUGUGGUUGAAGAUUUUCUAGCACGGUAUCGAUCUCUUCCGCUGGUAGUACAGUAUCCAUGCCUUCUUCCCCACUUAAAACGUUCCAUACCAACUUCAAAGACCGCAGGUUCUUCUCUAUCAAAUUUGCAGCCUUGGCAUCAACUGGACUCGUUACAUUUCCAAGACCAUUGAUCUCCAGCUUGCCGACAAGCUUCAAGUGCGCCAACUCAGAAAUGCUAGCACAAUGUUCAACGCGGUCUUGCUUGCCGAUGACAAAAACGGACAAUUCCUGCAAGCUAACUACCUUGCCGAUCCCUCGGGGCAUGCCCUUCAAUUCCGAGCAAUUGUUGUUUAACAAGACUCUAAGUUUGGUCAGUUUUUGGAUCAUUUUAGGCAGCUCACAUAAUUUUCCACAGCCACUAAUGUCGAGUUUCACUAAAUGCUGAAGAUCACUUGACGAUGAGGGUAAUGAUAGUAGAGAACCGCACCCAGAAAGAUUCAGAAUACGCAAGUUUUGAAGGCUCCCAAUGCAUUCAGGUAAUGCCACCAAAGAAUUUAGAGCGGAUAGGUUUAAGUUAUGCAGGUUUUUGAGAUCACAUAAUGAUGAGGGUAAUGAUAGUAGAGAACUGCAGUAGCUUAAAUCUAAAAUCCGCAAAUUCGUAAGACUUCCUAACAAUGUGGGUAAUGUACAGAUCUUGCAACAGCUUGAAAGAUUCAAGGUUUGCAAGUUGCAGAGGCUGGUAAUUGAUUCAGGCAAUUCUUGUAUACUGUUCUCCGAAAGGUUGAGGUAUCUUAAGAGCUUCAACUCACCGAUUGAGCUUGGCAGCAUAGAAAUUUCGGAACCAUAUAAAUCCAACAGGCGUAAGUAUUUUGCCUCGCUAUAAAAAGCCAUAAUAUGUGAGCUAGAUUUCCUAAAUUGAAGAGCUCGCAACCUCCGCGCUAUUGUGGUUGGAAUAUGUGUCAUGACACUACUGUAGUGUAUUGAUGCAUAGCGGCGACCUUUUGGGAUCCUUGUCGACUCUUCUCCAACUAUAACAGCAACUUCUUCUCUUGCUACAGACAUUAAGAGGUCGUGCACUAAAUCAUGCAUCCGGUACGUAACAUUUCCAUAACAUUUCUCGUCGUCCUCAUCCUCCACGUCUUGAAGGAAAGACAUCCAUAAUAGAUCGUUAAAGUACUCAUUCCCAAUAUCUUCCAUCGAAGUCCAUGUUUCAUUCGAUGAAAUGAAGCCUAAAGCAAUCCAUUGCCGGAUCAAGUCAUCCUUGUCAAUCUCGUAGUCUUUUGGGAAUAUGGAGCAGUAAGCAAAGCACUGCUUCAAAGCCGACGGCAUCUGAAUGUAGCUCAACUUUAAUGAUGGUAAAAUAGUUGUCUCUUCUUUCAGACUCCAAAUUUCGUUAUCCCUAAUAGCGGACCAUGCAUCCUCUGUCCUCUUAAAGAGCAUCAUACUUCCUAAAGCAUUCGCUGCUAACGGCACACCGCUGCACUUCUUAACUAUCUGCUGUCCGAUUGCCACCAAAUUUGGAUAGCCGUUCUCUUCCCCAUUAUCGAAUGCCCGUCUUUUGAACAAUGUCCAACAAUCAUCAUCUGAUAAGCCUUUCACACGGUGUGGUUCUACUGUUUUCAUUAUCGUCGCGACUUUUUCGCUCCGCGUGGUCACUAAGAUUUUGCUUCCCUUCUUGCCGUCCUUAAAUACAACCUUCAAUUCCUUCCACUUAUCCGGAUCUUCGUUCCAUACAUCAUCCAGCACCAGCAAAAAUCUCUUCUGGCUACAGAUCCUGACAAGGCACCUCGCGACGGCGUCCGGGUUAUCAAGAUCAUUACACUUCUCUUCAGUUUCAUCUAUCACUGCCUUUGCAAUCUUCUUCAUGUCGAAAUUGGUAGACACGUAAACCCACACCCGUAGAUCAAAGCGCUGCUGGCCCGUAACCCGGCCGUCAUUGAAGGCCAGCUGAGCGAGCGUCGUCUUCCCCAAACCCCCCAAUCCCACGAUCGGAAUGACUGACACGUCGUGAUCGCCGCCCGUCUCUAGCAGUAGCUUCACAAUUUUCUCUUUAUCACCAUCUCUCCCUACUAUCGUCUUUUCGUCGACGACCGAGAAUGUCUCAGGGCGCUUGAACUCAGCCUGCCGAACAGGGCCAGCUUGGGCAAGACCAAAAUCAUGCCUCUGUUUCGCGAUCUUACCGAUCUUUUCUCUGAGCUCUUUCAUCCUGUGUGCCAUCUUGCGCUUAGACUUCAGAUGCAUCGGAUUAGCGCGGGACAGAAAUCCACAUACCUUUUCAGCUGGCUGGUUUUGAUCCUGCACCUCGGGAUACUGCUGUUGCCGGAGGACCGCUUGCGUCCGGAUCUCGUCCAGCAGGUCGUCGGCGUCGUAAGCGGCGUCCUUCAGUUUGCGCAGCCAGUCGCGCAGAGCGUGGCUCUCCUUCCCAGCGCUGCUUCGCUCCUGGGCGUCGUGAAGCACCGCUUGGAUCGCCGAGAAGUUGCUUCUGAGGUCGUCCGCGUCGUCCUUGAAGCUCCGCAGCAGUCCGAUUUCGUCCCAGAGAGCGGAGCCCAGCUUGCCGAGCACUCCCGUCACCAAGUCGGAUGCGAUCCCGUCCGCCAUCGCGCGUGCUGCUGCCUAAUUCUUCUCAAUACGAAC
Molecule: long non-coding RNA, 8928 nt
Filed under: Ananas comosus (pineapple)
Lineage: Eukaryota; Viridiplantae; Streptophyta; Magnoliopsida; Poales; Bromeliaceae
Description: long non-coding RNA (ACOM_LNC007733)
Source: RNAcentral